Molecule: long non-coding RNA, 1002 nt
Filed under: Nicotiana tabacum (common tobacco)
Lineage: Eukaryota; Viridiplantae; Streptophyta; Magnoliopsida; Solanales; Solanaceae
Description: long non-coding RNA (NTAB_LNC010756)
Source: RNAcentral
GGGUUUUAAACCCUAAACUAAACUUUUUUCCUUUCAGCCAGCAUUAGGGUUUUAAACCCUAAACUGAGCUUUUCCAUGUAAUCAGCAUUAGGGUUUUAAACCCUAAACUGACCCUUUUCCUUUAAUCAGCAUUAGGGUUUUAAACCCUAAACUGAACCUUUUUCCUUUCAGCCAGCAUUAGGGUUUUAAACCCUAAACUGAGCUUUUCCAUGCAGUCAGCAUUAGGGUUUCAAACCCUAAACUGACCCUUUUCCUUUAAUCAGCAUUAGGGUUUUAAACCCUAAACUGAAUUUUUCCUUUAGUCAGCAUUAGGGUUUUAAACCCUAAACUGAACUUUUUUCCUUUAGUCAGCAUUAGGGUUUUAAACCCUAAACUGAAUUUUCCAUUCAGCCAGCAUUAGGGUUUUAAACCCUAAACUGAGCUUUUCCAUGCAAUCAGCAUUAGGGUUUUAAACCCUAAACUGACCCUUUUCCUUUAAUCAGCAUUAGGGCUUUAAACCCUAAACUGAAUUUUUCCAUGUAGUCAGCAUUAGGGCUUUAAACCCUAAACUGAACUUUUUCCCAUUCAGCCAGCAUUAGGGUUUUAAACCCUAAACUGAGCUUUUCCAUGCAAUCAGCAUUAGGGUUUUAAACCUUAAACUGAAUUUUUCCUUUAGUCAGCAUUAGGGUUUUAAACCCUAAACUGAACUUUUUCCCAUUCAGCCAGCAUUAGGGUUUUUAAACCCUAAACUGAGCUUUUCCAUGCAAUCAGCAUUAGGGUUUUAAAUCCUAAACUGAAUUUUUCCAUACAAUCAGCAUUAGGGUUUUAAACCCUAAACUGAACUUUUCCAUUCAGCCAGCAUUAGGGUUUUAAACCCUAAACUGAGCUUUUCCAUGCAAUCACCAUUAGGGUUUUAAACCCUAAACUGACCCUUUUCCUUUAAUCGGCAUUAGGGUUUUAAACCCUAAACUGAACCUUUUUCCUUUCAGCCAGCAUUAGGGUUUUAAACCCUAAACUAAGCUU